CGGCCGGGCAGAGGCGCUCCCCACAUCCCAGACGACGGGCAGCCGGGCAGAGAUGCUCCUCACCUCCCAGACCGGAUGGCGGCGACACACGGAGUUAAAUGCUGGGAUAAGUCAGACCUUAUCUGCACUUCUGUCUAGGUCCUAGGCUCUACACCUAGUGCAUAAUUAAAAUCCCAAGCUUGGCCAGGAACAGUGGCUCAUGUCUGUAAUCCCAGCACUUUGGGAGGCCAAGUCGGGAGGAUCACCUGAGGUCAGGAGUUCGAGAUCAGCCUGGCCAACAUGGUGAAACCCCGUCUCUAUUAAAAAUACAAAAAUUAGCCAGGAAUGGUGGCGCUCGCCUGUAAUCCCAGCUACUCGGGAGGCUGAGGCAGGAGAAUCGCUUGAACCCAGGAAGUGGAGGUUGCAGUGAGUCAAGAUUGCACCAUUGCACUCCAGCCUAGGUGGCAAGAGUGAAACUCCAUCUCAAAAAUAAAUAAAUAAAAAUAAAAUAAAAUCCCAAACUCACCAACAAAAGUAAAGGUUGCUAAAAGUUAAGUGUAACAUGUAUUUAAGACUAUUAAAAAAAGUUUACAUAUAGUUUUGGUAAAAAGAUUAUAAGGAGGCAUGAAAAUGUAAUGUGGUUUUUUACCUAGAUUAAAAGGUUAAAGAAUUGUUUUUAGUUGAAUAAAAUAAAAAUGAAGGUUUAAGCAAUUUUUGGAAGGUUAAUUGUAAAGGAAAUUCUGUGUGUAAACAUAUUGGCUAAAGUUGAAGGGGUAUCAUCCAGUUUUUCUGUAAAUUGAGCAUUAAAAUAAAAGCACAACAGGUUUCUCUUAAAGCACUAACCUGCUCUUAGCAAAAAUUAUAAUGGGUCUAUAGACUAUUUUUAAAGAUUUUUAUAAAAAUCUUUACUUUAUGGUCAAACAUUAAAAUUCGGUAAAUUUGUCUACAAGGUUUUAUUAAAAAUUGAGCUUAACAUUAAUAGCACUAAUAUAAUGGUAAAAUUUGGUAUAAAAUCAUACAGGAAGCAAUGUCAAAUAGAAAAUGGUGUUUGGCUUUCUUUGGACUAUAUUUGUAUAAAUAUGUUAUUGGUAUGUGUUCCAAAGUUAUGGGAGACUCCUAUAAUUCUGAUAUAUCUUAGUGUAUGUUAUCAGUAGUAAUUAUAAUUGUUAUGUUAAAACUAUUGUGUGCCACAAAGGUAACAGAUAUCCUUGUCAAUUGUGACUUUAACUAUGGCUACCCUAAAACUUUUUGUCAUCCAUAAACAAUUGUUGUCUUGUUUUGGUCCUCUUUAGAAGGUAGUCUUAUAAUCAGCUAUAAAGCUCUAACAGGUGCUCUUGAAUGCAGCUUUUUGAUAACUUUGGAGAUUGUGACAUCAGAAUAGAGGAAAAACGUUCAGGACUCUCGAAGAGCUAAAACGUUCAUUAAUAUCAAGCAGGACAGAAAUUAACUGCAUUAACUGAACUAAUAGGAGACUGAAGUGAUCUUUUUGACGUUUUGCUGAAAAUAUUGCUAAUCCUUUGUUUUGCUUUUCAAAGUCAAAGAAACUUUUCUUUUGAGCUAUUGACAGCUUUUAACAAUUUAGUAUACUCCCAUGAACAAAAUUUGGAGCAUACUUGUUUCUCUCUACCUGAUUUUCUCCAGAAUUUGGAAACUGUGAGUAUUCUUAAGUUGUGGCAAUAUAGUUAUUUGCAUAAGUGCAAUAAGAAUCUGUUUUCUUUUGUAACAGGACACAAUUGGAAAAACUGGUUAUUUUACCAAGGCUUUGGCUGGAAUGGUGUGCUUUCCUUUAAGGAAUCAAACCUGACUUAUGAAGCCAAGAAAGCUCUUGGGAAAUUGGCCUCACGUUUUGUGUACACAGUCCCUGUACAGGGUUUCUGAUCUGUGGAUCAUGGCCAUUUCACAGACAACUACCCAAAAACAUCUACAGACGACAUUACUCCUACAGUCAAUCUGAGACCAGAAAACUCUCUGUCCUCCCAUCAGCAGGAAGUAGCUAGAAAGAACAUGCCACCUCUCUUCCUUUUUAUAACUAUAGGGUCUGGAUUGACAGAGCAGGAGCAUCACCAUCUUGGACAAGCACCACCAUUUUUAAGUUCACCUUGAUCAAAAGCCGCCUAAAUCCAAAGGGCAUCAGCCUAAUGGCUAAGGUCAGCAUGACCAUAAACCACAAAUGACAUCUCCGACCAGAAACAUUCCAACCAUAAGAUAAAUCCCUCCCCGACCAGAGACAUGCCAGCCCUGAGAUAACCUCUCCUCCGACCAGAGACACUCCAACCCGCAAUAAAUUUCUCCCCCACACACAGAAACAUUCCAAGCCUGUGAUAAGCUUUCUCACCCUAAAACCAAUACUCUUAGUCUGUAAGAGAGAGCACUCCUGACAGAAAUUGGCCAGAAGCCCCUCUCAGGUUUAUUCUCCAAAAUAAACCUGACUUUAACUGUUGAGCCAUUUUUCGUGUUUCUUUCCUCUUUCUUUAAUUCUUACACUGAGGACUAAAGAAGAGAUGGCUGUCCAAGUCCACCUGGAGCCCUGAUAGCUGUCCAGCCUGUGUGCAUCACACUGCAGGCCCUGUCUGGGGUCAGUCUGAGGAUAGCUUCCCCCAAUGGUGACCCCAGGCUUUUUCACUGUGGUGGGUCCAUUUUACUACUGUUACAGGACUUCCUCUUCUCCCUGGCUGUGGACCCAUUUCCAGCUAUCACCUUUGACAAAUUGGCAAAUUCUUAAGUAACCUGAAUCUCCUCUGUAUUUGGUCAUUCCAGCUACUCCCAGUGCCCAGUAUACCCACCUCUGGCACUGGUCUUGCGGGGCCAAAGGACAAACUCUUUUUACCUUUCACCAUCAAGCCCCUGUCUACUCGUCCCUUAUGGGAGAAGCUUCAAGUGGUCCACAUGGGACCAGAUUCAGCCAACAGAUUCUAGUGCCAUAACUGAGUUUUCUGAAAGUUGUUCCUGAAAGACUGAUUAAGCUACCUUUGCAUCUUGGCCCAGUUAAAACAGCAAUUCCUACCAAGAGGAGUGCUCAGGUAAGAAGAAAGUAGAACAAUUUGAGCCACCCCAAAAAGGUGGUGAUGCCAGUUAGCAACUGCUUGACUCUAGAGAAAUGAGACCAUGUCUUAUUCCUUGCUCUGCUCCCAGAGCCUUGCGCAGGCCUGGCUCAGAGUAGGCACCAUUCAUUGACUGAAUGAACUAUUCCCAUGAGUGCUGGGAGUGUUUUCCCACCCAAAUGAUCAGUAACCCUUCCUCUUCUUCAAAUUCAGCCUUUGCUGUUGCUCAAUAAAUGUAUGUUGAAAGGAAAAAGAUGAGGGGUCAGCUCUUCAGAGGACUGAAGAAGUGAGAACAAAAUAUCCAGGCUUGUCAUAAUCUCAAGGAAAAAGCAAGUGGUGUCACUUGCUCAAGGAUGAGGAUUAAGCAAUAGGUGUGUGGAGUUGGGUCCUCAAUCGUGGGGAAGGUUCUAAACAGAUUGCCCUAGGAUCUCAGUGAGGCGUGAAGCUUAUUCAAGUUCUCACCUGCUAUUUUCCCUGUCUUCAAAACACUCCUCUAGGCUGGGCACAGUGGCUCACACCCGUAUUCCCAGCACUUUGGGAAGCCGAGGUGGAUGGAUCACUUGAACCCAGGAAUUUGAGACCAGCCUGGCCGACAUGGAGAAACCCUGUCUCUACUAAAAAUACAAAAAAAAAUUAGCCAGGCAUGGUGGUGCAUGCCUGUAGUCCCAGCUACUCAGGAGGCUGAGGAAGGAGAAUCUCUUGAACUCAGGAGGCAGAGAUUGCAGUGAGCCAAGAUCACACCUCUGCACUCCAGCCUGGGCAAUAGGGCAAGACUGUUUCACACAUACACACACACACACACACACACACACACACACACAGACACACACACACACACACAAAAGACUCCUCCACUCACCUGUGCUUCUUUUCUCUUUUACCCUUCCGCCUCUGGUUAAAUGUUAGUUCCUCAAGGAGACCUUUCCUAGCCACCAGACUAGGUCAGAGUCCUCUUUUCGUGCCCUGACAGCCAGCAUCCAGUACCUUCCAGUCACAACGCUGAUCAGAGUUUGUAACUGCAUAUUACUCUGUGUAUGUUUGUUUGCUGUCUGUUUCCCCUGUUCCCUGAAAGGCAGUGCCACUCCUGUUUUGCUCUCCAUUGUAUCCCCAGCACAGGGGCUGGCUCAUAGUUGAUAUUCAAAAACCAUCUGAUGGAGAAAGGAAUGAAUGAAUUGUAUUCUAUCAUUUAAUGCUCAGAACAAUCUUGGGUCUUCAGUGUUGUAUUUGUCUCCCUUUCACAUGAGGAAAGUGAAAAUUAGAACUCUAGGGGGACACAGAGGGGACUGGAAUCAGUUCUACUGGAUCAACAGCCCACAUCUGCCCUGCUGCCUGGGUGAAGCGGAGGGUCCAGGUUAGUGAGAAUGGGAGAGAUGCAGGGGAGACAGGAAGACAGUCAGGAAGGGCCAGGGCCAAGUCCGGAACAGUGAGGAAGGGAAAGAAGUCCAGGAUGCUGCCCAGCUGACUUCAGCCUGACCCUGGGAGUCAAGAAGGAUGGGUGAAUGGGUGUAUGUCAUUGACGUGGAGCAGGGCAAAGGGGGUGCAGACUCGACGGGCUGUGGAUUUCUUCUCAAUUAUCUUCUGAAUUAUCUUGAUGUCUUCAAGAGGCAGUGCAAUCCUAGUUAAAAGAUGAAUUCCAGAGGCUGGCUCUGCUUCUGCUCUCAACCUGCUGUGUGAACUUAAACAAGUGAUUAAACAUCUCUGUGCCU
This 4726-nucleotide long non-coding RNA is filed under the name Homo sapiens (human). RNAcentral describes it as "HSALNT0242099". The record is from RNAcentral. Lineage: Eukaryota; Metazoa; Chordata; Mammalia; Primates; Hominidae.